CUGUGCAAAGGUAGCAUAAUCAUUAGCUUUUUAAUUGAAGGCUUGUAUGAAGGGUCUGACAAAGAAAAAGCUGUCUUUAAUUUUAUUUUUGAAUUUAACUUUUAAGUGAAAAGGCUUAGUUGAGUUUAAGGGACGAUAAGACCCUAUAAAUCUUUAUAUUAAAUUAUUAUCUUGGAUUUUAAUUAUUUUGUCUAGAUUUUUAAGUAAAAUAAUAAAUAUUUUGUUGGGGUGACAAGAAUAUAAGAAUAACUGUUCAUAAUUAAAACAAAGUUGUUUGAAUAAAAGUUAUAGAUCCUUUUUAUAGAUUAAGAGAUUAAGUUACUUUAGGGAUAACAGCGUUAUUUUUUUUGAGAGUUCUUAUCGAAAAAAAAGUUUGCGACCUCGAUGUUGAAUUAAAAUUUCUCUAUGGUGUAGAAGCUGUAGAAGAAAGUCUGUUCGACUUUUGAAAUUUU
RNAcentral lists this ribosomal RNA (452 nucleotides) under Paramunida spica. RNAcentral's name for it is "partial 16S ribosomal RNA". It matches the Rfam family "Bacterial large subunit ribosomal RNA", at positions 1946 to 2597 of the family's 2925-position model. The record is from RNAcentral. Lineage: Eukaryota; Metazoa; Arthropoda; Malacostraca; Decapoda; Munididae.